RNAcentral lists this ribosomal RNA (1007 nucleotides) under Nigrograna lancangensis. RNAcentral's name for it is "SSU rRNA". It matches the Rfam family "Eukaryotic small subunit ribosomal RNA", at positions 87 to 1102 of the family's 1831-position model. The record is from RNAcentral. Lineage: Eukaryota; Fungi; Ascomycota; Dothideomycetes; Pleosporales; Nigrogranaceae.
CUGCGAAUGGCUCAUUAAAUCAGUUAUCGUUUAUUUGAUAGUACCUUACUACUUGGAUAACCGUGGUAAUUCUAGAGCUAAUACAUGCUAAAAACCCCAACUUCGGGAGGGGUGUAUUUAUUAGAUAAAAAACCAAUGCCCUUCGGGGCUCCUUGGUGAUUCAUAAUAACUUAACGGAUCGCAUGGCCUUGCGCCGGCGACGGUUCAUUCAAAUUUCUGCCCUAUCAACUUUCGAUGGUAAGGUAUUGGCUUACCAUGGUUUCAACGGGUAACGGGGAAUUAGGGUUCGAUUCCGGAGAGGGAGCCUGAGAAACGGCUACCACAUCCAAGGAAGGCAGCAGGCGCGCAAAUUACCCAAUCCCGACACGGGGAGGUAGUGACAAUAAAUACUGAUACAGGGCUCUUUUGGGUCUUGUAAUCGGAAUGAGUACAAUUUAAACCCCUUAACGAGGAACAAUUGGAGGGCAAGUCUGGUGCCAGCAGCCGCGGUAAUUCCAGCUCCAAUAGCGUAUAUUAAAGUUGUUGCAGUUAAAAAGCUCGUAGUUGAACCUUGGGCCUGGCUGGCCGGUCCGCCUCACCGCGUGUACUGGUCCGGCCGGGCCUUUCCUUCUGGAGAACCCCAUGCCCUUCACUGGGUGUGUGGGCGAACCAGGACUUUUACUGUGAACAAAUUAGAGUGUUCAAAGCAGGCCUUUGCUCGAAUACAUUAGCAUGGAAUAAUAGAAUAGGACGUGCGGUCCUAUUUUGUUGGUUUCUAGGACCGCCGUAAUGAUUAAUAGGGAUAGUCGGGGGCAUCAGUAUUCAAUUGUCAGAGGUGAAAUUCUUGGAUUUAUUGAAGACUAACUACUGCGAAAGCAUUUGCCAAGGAUGUUUUCAUUAAUCAGUGAACGAAAGUUAGGGGAUCGAAGACGAUCAGAUACCGUCGUAGUCUUAACCGUAAACUAUGCCGACUAGGGAUCGGGCGAUGUUUCUAUCUUGACUCGCUCGGCACCUUACGAGAAAUCAAA